GAGCACGUAGGUGGGUUUGUAAGUCAGGUGUGAAAGCCUUCUGUUCAAAGGAAGAACGGCAUCUGAAACUGCAGAUCUUGAGUUUAGGAGGGGAGAGUGGAACUUCUGGUGGAGCGGUGAAAUGCGUAGAUAUCAGAAGGAACGUCGGCGGCGAAAGCGACUCUCUGGCCUAAUACUGACACUGAGGUGCGAAAGUUAGGGGAGCAAACGGGAUUAGAUACCCCGGUAGUCCUAACCGUAAACGAUGGGCACUAAGUAGAGGGAAUUACCAAUGUUCUCUCUGCCGUAGCUAACGCAUUAAGUGCCCCGCCUGGGGAGUACGGCCGCAAGGCUAAAACUCAAAAGAAUUGACGGGGGCUCGCACAAGCGGUGGAGCAUGUGGCUUAAUUCGAUGCAACGCGAAAAACCUUACCGGGGUUUGACAUGACAGAAGUAGGAGCCUGAAAGGGUAACCAACGGUAUCCAGUCCGUAACUAUUACAGGUGUUGCAUGGCUGUCGUCAGCUCGUGUCGUGAGACGUUGGGUUAAGUCCCCUAACGAGCGAAACCCUUGUUUUUAGUUACCAUCGGGUAGUGCCGGGUACUCUAAAAAGACUGCCGUCGUCAAGACGGAGGAAGGUGGGGAUGACGUCAAGUCAUCAUGGCCCUUAUACCCCGGGCUGCACACGUGCUACAAUGGUCGGUACAAAAGGAAGCAAGACCGAGAGGUGAAGCGAAUCC
RNAcentral lists this ribosomal RNA (719 nucleotides) under uncultured anaerobic ammonium-oxidizing bacterium. RNAcentral describes it as "bacterial SSU rRNA". It matches the Rfam family "Bacterial small subunit ribosomal RNA", at positions 565 to 1274 of the family's 1533-position model. The record is from RNAcentral.